CGGAGCAUGUGGAUUAAUUCGAUGCAACGCGAAGAACCUUACCUGGGCUUGACAUACACCAGAUCGCUGCAGAGAUGUAGCUUCCCUUGUGGCUGGUGUACAGGUGGUGCAUGGUUGUCGUCAGCUCGUGUCGUGAGAUGUUGGGUUAAGUCCCGCAACGAGCGCAACCCUUGUCUUAUGUUGCCAUCACGUGAUUGUGGGCACUCAUGAGAGACUGCCGGGGUUAACUCGGAGGAAGGUGGGGAUGACGUCAAAUCAUCAUGCCCCUUAUGUCCAGGGCUUCACACAUGCUACAAUGGUCGGUACAGCGAGUUGCCACACCGUGAGGUGGAGCUAAUCUCUCAAAGCCGGCCUCAGUUCGGAUUGGGGUCUGCAACUAGACCCCAUGAAGUCGGAGUCGCUAGUAAUCGCAGAUCAGCAACGCUGCGGUGAAUACGUUCCCGGGCUUGUACUCACCGCCCGUC
RNAcentral lists this ribosomal RNA (464 nucleotides) under uncultured bacterium. RNAcentral's name for it is "bacterial SSU rRNA". It matches the Rfam family "Bacterial small subunit ribosomal RNA", at positions 933 to 1398 of the family's 1533-position model. The record is from RNAcentral.